UAUCUCUGUAGAGUCUGCAUAUCAAUAAGCGGAGGAAAAGAAACUAACAAGGAUUCCCCUAGUAACGGCGAGUGAAGCGGGAAGAGCUCAAAUUUGAAAUCUUAAAGGGUUUCCCUUUACGAAUUGUAGUUUAAAGAAGUGUUUUCUGUUGAAGUUUUGGUAAAAGUUCUUUGGAAUAGGACAUCAUAGAGGGUGAGAAUCCCGUAUUUGACCGUUAUUUUCAGCUGUGUGAUACACUUUCAAAGAGUCGGAUUGUUUGGGAAUGCAGUCCAAAAUGGGUGGUAAAUUUCAUCUAAAGCUAAAUAUUGGCGAGAGACCGAUAGCGAACAAGUACCGUGAGGGAAAGAUGAAAAGAACUUUGAAAAGAGAGUUAAACAGUACGUGAAAUUGUCAAAAGGGAAGCGUUUGACACCAGUGUUGUUUUCUCGAAAAUCAAUUAAAAAUGGCUUGAUUUUGUGUUGUAUUGACCUUAAAAGCUUUCUUCACUUUUUUCAUGUCUUUUUUAAUGCACUUUUCGUUUAACAAGUCAACAUCAGUUUCUUUUGUUGUAAAAAGGUCAUUGGAAGGUGGCUUUCUUUUCGGAGAAAGUGUUUAUAGCCUUUGACUUCUGCAAUCGGAGAGACUGAGGUCUGCAGCGUAGAUCCUUCUGGAUUAGAUUCAUUUGUGCUAAGUUACAACCGUUUAUAGACAACUUGUUGACUAUAUUCGAUCCUGUAGCUUACUCGCUUAUGUAAUUUUACCUACGCUUAGGAUGUUGAUAUGCAUGACUGAUAU
RNAcentral lists this ribosomal RNA (774 nucleotides) under uncultured Neocallimastigales. Its description in RNAcentral is "partial large subunit ribosomal RNA". It matches the Rfam family "Eukaryotic large subunit ribosomal RNA", at positions 24 to 634 of the family's 3401-position model. Lineage: Eukaryota; Fungi; Neocallimastigomycota; Neocallimastigomycetes; Neocallimastigales. The record is from RNAcentral.